UUUAGGGUUAUAACAAAACAAAUGAAUCACCUCUACACCACAGUCAGAGACUCAGAGAACAAGUGAUGAAGUGACAAAUCGCCUCCACAGUCACCUCCGUUGAUUGCCGACACCGGCGCCAUCCUCCUCCGUGGUUCCGCCUCCGCCGACAGCUUUUAAGCGGGUUAUUGAUAACAUGUUUAAUGGAAAAGAAGCCGGGGCAUCUAGUGGACAAACCGGUGUGGACGCACGUUUGAAGGGCUCACUUUAAAAGGUAAUUAGGAGGUCAUGGAUGGCGAUCAAGCGACAAGAUGAUGAACCGAACACUCUUUUUUGAAGCUUCCGCUAUGUUUGAACUUGUUAAUCAGUGUUCCUUUUGUUGUAAUCAAUUUCUUAAACAACAAUAUUACGUUCAACCUUUGUCUUAGUAGACUUAGGAUGUAAUAGUUUUGAAACUUAUGUUAAUUUAACGCCUUUUGGUAUAAAAUAGUAGAGUUAGGAUCCUGUAAAAAAAGGCCCAAAGUGUGAGAAAGAUAAGAAAGAAUAUCAGCCAUUAGAUCUUUUGAUCUAAUGGUUGAGAUCAAUAGGGACCAAAAUGUA
RNAcentral lists this long non-coding RNA (579 nucleotides) under Helianthus annuus (common sunflower). Its description in RNAcentral is "sRNA HanXRQr2_Chr09g0364381". Lineage: Eukaryota; Viridiplantae; Streptophyta; Magnoliopsida; Asterales; Asteraceae. The record is from RNAcentral.